RNAcentral lists this ribosomal RNA (446 nucleotides) under uncultured bacterium. RNAcentral describes it as "bacterial SSU rRNA". It matches the Rfam family "Bacterial small subunit ribosomal RNA", at positions 30 to 524 of the family's 1533-position model. The record is from RNAcentral.
CGAACGCUGGCGGCAGGCUUAACACAUGCAAGUCGAACGCCCCUUCGGGGGAGUGGCAGACGGGUGAGUAACGCGUGGGAACCUACCUAUCAGUACGGAACAACUCAGGGAAACUUGUGCUAAUACCGUAUACGUCCUUCGGGAGAAAGAUUUAUCGCUGAUAGAUGGGCCCGCGUUAGAUUAGCUAGUUGGUGAGGUAACGGCUCACCAAGGCGACGAUCUAUAGCUGGUCUGAGAGGAUGAUCAGCCACACUGGAACUGAGACACGGUCCAGACUCCUACGGGAGGCAGCAGUGGGGAAUAUUGGACAAUGGGCGAAAGCCUGAUCCAGCCAUGCCGCGUGAGUGAUGAAGGCCCUAGGGUUGUAAAGCUCAUUCAACGGUGAAGAUAAUGACGGUAGCCGUAGAAGAAGCCCCGGCUAACUUCGUGCCAGCAGCCGCGGUAAU